Molecule: ribosomal RNA, 253 nt
Filed under: uncultured bacterium
Lineage: Bacteria
Description: partial 16S ribosomal RNA
Rfam family: Bacterial small subunit ribosomal RNA
Source: RNAcentral
UACGAAGGGGGCUAGCGUUGUUCGGAAUCACUGGGCGUAAAGCGCGCGUAGGCGGGCUGCCGCGUCCGGGGUGAAAUCCCACGGCUCAACCGUGGAACUGCCUCGGAUACGGGCGGUCUCGAGGGGGUAGGGGCACGCGGAACUGUGGGUGGAGCGGUGAAAUGCGUAGAUAUGCGGAGGAACACCGAUGGCGAAGGCAAUCCCCUGGACCUGUACUGACGCUCAUGCACGAAAGGCGUGGGGAGCAAACAGG